This is a long non-coding RNA of Mytilus californianus (California mussel), 1472 nucleotides long. RefSeq lists it as uncharacterized. The transcript is spliced from 2 exons. The record is from RefSeq and is a predicted model, not a curated record. Lineage: Eukaryota; Metazoa; Mollusca; Bivalvia; Mytilida; Mytilidae.
ACCUAUCCGUAAUAUUUCAAACUAGAAAUAUCUCAGCACAAAAUUUAAACAUAAGAACUGCCUCUGCUUUACAAAAAAUAAAAUUUAUUAUGCACUGGAGGUUACAAUGUAAUGACUUUAUUCACAAAGAACUAUCUAAUAGACUUUAUUGUUAUUAUGCACUGGAGGUGACAAUGUAAUGACUUUAUUCACAAAGAACUAUCUGAUAGACUUUAUUGUUAUUUGUUUGCCAUUACUCGACUAAUUCCCAAUAAAAUGCUCCGCAGGGCUCAGCUUGAUACGACCGCAGAGGUCGAACCCUGAACAGUUGGGGCAAGUAUGGACACAACAUUCAAGCUUGAUACAGCUCUGAAUUUGGAUUGUGAUUAAAUAUUUGACACAGCAUAGGUUUUUGACACAGAAUGAAUGUGGUCUAAGAACUUAAAAAUUUUAAAUUGGACAUUCACCUAUUAUGGUCCAACAUCCAAAAUCUAAAUACAUGGUUAGAUUCAGCAUAUCAAAGAACCCCAAGAAUUCAUUUUUUGAUGAAAUCAAACAAAGUUUAAUUUUGGACCCUUUUGACCUCAAUGUGGACAAAGUUGAUAACGGGGCCCAAAAAAUCAAAAAUCUAAAUACAUGGUUAGAUUCAGCAUAUCAAAGAACCCCAUAUAAUCAAUUUUUGUUGAAAUCAAACAAAGUUUAAUUUUGGACCCCCAUUUGGACCAACUUGAAAACUGGGCCCAUAAUCAAAAAUCUAAAUACAUGUUUAGAUUCAGCAUAUCAAAGAACCCUAAGAAUUCAAUUUUUGUUAAAAUCAAACUUAGUUUAAUUUUGGACCCUUUGGACCUUAAUGUAGACCAAUUUGAAAACGGAACCAAAAAUUAAGAAUCUAAAUACACGGGUAGAUUCGGCAUAUCAAAGAACCCCAAUAAUUCAAUUUUUGAUGAAAUCAAACAAAGUUUAAUUUUGGACCCUUUGGACCUCAAUGUGGACCAAUUUAAAAACGGGGCCAAAAAUCCAAAAACUUAAUACACGGUUAGAUUCAGCAUAUUAAAGAACCCCAAGAAUUCAAGAAUAAAACCCCAUUGAAAUUGGUCAAGAAAUAAGCAAUUUAUACGAAGUAUCUUCUUUUGCACAAUACUGUGCAAUUGAAUAUUUCUUGCUAUUGCGCAAUACUGCACAAUUGACAAUUUCUUGCUAUUGCGCAAUAUUGUGCUAUUGGAUAUUUCUUGCUAUUGCGCAAUACUGUGCAAUUGAAGAUUUCUUGCUAUAGCGCAAUACUGUGCAAUUGAAGAUUUCUUGCUAUUGUGCAAUACUGUGCAAUUGAAAAUUUCUUGCUAUUGCACAAUACUUAUUAUAUAAUAAUUUACACAUCCUGUUUGGUGUGUAUCUCCUAUCAUAUCAUUAUUAUUUGCUUUUAAAUAUAAAUCAGAAAUAACCAACUUAAAAUGGAAAAUAUUAAAAGAAAAAAAAAAGGAAAAAAAAAAAAAAAA